GUCAGAAUGGCACAGUGGUUUGAGUGCUGGACUACAACUCUGGAAACCAAGGCUUUGAUUCCAUGCUCAGCCA
This is a non-coding RNA of Phrynosoma platyrhinos (Desert horned lizard), 73 nucleotides long. The record is from the annotation of a GenBank genome assembly. Lineage: Eukaryota; Metazoa; Chordata; Lepidosauria; Squamata; Phrynosomatidae.